AGAACGAACGCUGGCGGCAUGCCUAAUACAUGCAAGUCGAACGAAUGUCCUUCGGGAUGUUAGUGGCGCACGGGUGCGUAACGCGUGGGAAUCUGCCCUUGGGUUCGGAAUAACAGUUAGAAAUGACUGCUAAUACCGGAUGAUGACGUGAGUCCAAAGAUUUAUCGCCCAGGGAUGAGCCCGCGUGGGAUUAGCUAGUU
RNAcentral lists this ribosomal RNA (200 nucleotides) under uncultured soil bacterium. RNAcentral describes it as "partial 16S ribosomal RNA". It matches the Rfam family "Bacterial small subunit ribosomal RNA", at positions 26 to 250 of the family's 1533-position model. The record is from RNAcentral.